UGCCAGCCGCCGCGGUAAUACGGAGGGUGCAAGCGUUGUUCGGAAUUACUGGGCGUAAAGCGCGCGUAGGUGGUCUUGUAAGUCUGAUGUGAAAUCCCGGGGCUCAACCCCGGACGUGCAUUGGAUACUGCUUGACUAGAGUUCUGGAGAGGAAAGUGGAAUUCCUGGUGUAGGGGUGAAAUCCGUAGAGAUCAGGAGGAACAUCAGCGGCGAAGGCGGCUUUCUGGACAGAUACUGACACUGAGGCGCGAAAGCGUGGGGAGCAAACAGGAUUAGAUA
Molecule: ribosomal RNA, 279 nt
Filed under: uncultured bacterium
Lineage: Bacteria
Description: partial 16S ribosomal RNA
Rfam family: Bacterial small subunit ribosomal RNA
Source: RNAcentral